This 266-nucleotide unclassified non-coding RNA is filed under the name plant metagenome. RNAcentral's name for it is "partial contains small subunit ribosomal RNA, internal transcribed spacer 1, and 5.8S ribosomal RNA". The record is from RNAcentral.
UUUCCGUAGGUGAACCUGCGGAAGGAUCAUUAUCGUACAAAAUGUGAGGGGCAUGCGAGGGCUGUCGCUGACCCAAAGUCGUGCACGCCCGAGUGUGUCCUCUUGCAUAAUAAUCCAUCUCACCCUUUGUGCAUCACCGCGUGGGCACCCUUCGGGAUCAUCUCGGAGGGGGGCUCGCGUUUUCACACAAACCCCCCUUUUAAAAGUGUAGAAUGACCACAUUUUUGCAAUCAAUACAACUUUCAACAACGGAUCUCUUGGCUCUC